CGGGAAUCUUCCGCAAUGGACGAAAGUCUGACGGAGCAAUGCCGCGUGAGUGAAGAAGGUUUUCGGAUCGUAAAACUCUGUUGUUAGAGAAGAACAAGGAUGAGAGUAACUGCUCAUCCCCUGACGGUAUCUAACCAGAAAGCCACGGCUAACUACGUGCCAGCAGCCGCGGUAAUACGUAGGUGGCAAGCGUUGUCCGGAUUUAUUGGGCGUAAAGCGAGCGCAGGCGGUUCUUUAAGUCUGAUGUGAAAGCCCCCGGCUCAACCGGGGAGGGUCAUUGGAAACUGGAGAACUUGAGUGCAGAAGAGGAGAGUGGAAUUCCACGUGUAGCGGUGAAAUGCGUAGAUAUGUGGAGGAACACCAGUGGCGAAGGCGACUCUCUGGUCUGUAACUGACGCUGAGGCUCGAAAGCGUGGGGAGCAAAC
This 425-nucleotide ribosomal RNA is filed under the name uncultured bacterium. RNAcentral's name for it is "bacterial SSU rRNA". It matches the Rfam family "Bacterial small subunit ribosomal RNA", at positions 356 to 773 of the family's 1533-position model. The record is from RNAcentral.